AACGAACGCUGGCGGCAGGCCUAACACAUGCAAGUCGAGCGCCCCGCAAGGGGAGCGGCGGACGGGUGAGUAACGCGUGGGAACGUACCCUUUGCUACGGAAUAGCCUCGGGAAACUGGGAGUAAUACCGUAUGUGCCCUUCGGGGGAAAGAUUUAUCGGCAAAGGAUCGGCCCGCGUUGGAUUAGGUAGUUGGUGGGGUAAUGGCCUACCAAGCCGACGAUCCAUAGCUGGUUUGAGAGGAUGAUCAGCCACACUGGGACUGAGACACGGCCCAGACUCCUACGGGAGGCAGCAGUGGGGAAUCUUAGACAAUGGGCGCAAGCCUGAUCUAGCCAUGCCGCGUGAGCGAUGAAGGCCUUAGGGUUGUAAAGCACUUUCACCGAUGAAGAUAAUGACGGUAGUCGGAGAAGAAGCCCGGCUAACUUCGUG
RNAcentral lists this ribosomal RNA (430 nucleotides) under uncultured bacterium. Its description in RNAcentral is "bacterial SSU rRNA". It matches the Rfam family "Bacterial small subunit ribosomal RNA", at positions 29 to 507 of the family's 1533-position model. The record is from RNAcentral.